This 478-nucleotide ribosomal RNA is filed under the name uncultured bacterium. RNAcentral's name for it is "partial 16S ribosomal RNA". It matches the Rfam family "Bacterial small subunit ribosomal RNA", at positions 28 to 523 of the family's 1533-position model. The record is from RNAcentral.
GACGAACGCUGGCGGCGUGCUUAACACAUGCAAGUCGAACGGUAAGGCCCUUCGGGGUACACGAGUGGCGAACGGGUGAGUAACACGUGGGUGAUCUACCCUGCACUUCGGGAUAAGCCUGGGAAACUGGGUCUAAUACCGGAUAGGACUCCGGACUGCAUGGUCUGGGGUGGAAAGCUUUUGCGGUGUGGGAUGGGCCCGCGGCCUAUCAGCUUGUUGGUGGGGUGAUGGCCUACCAAGGCGACGACGGGUAGCCGGCCUGAGAGGGUGACCGGCCACACUGGGACUGAGAUACUGCCCAGACUCCUACGGGAGGCAGCAGUGGGGAAUAUUGCACAAUGGGCGCAAGCCCGAUGCAGCGACGCCGCGUGAGGGAUGACGGCCUUCGGGUUGUAAACCUCUUUCAGCACCGACGAAGCGCAAGUGACGGUAGGUGCAGAAGAAGGACCGGCCAACUACGUGCCAGCCGCCGCCGUAA